Molecule: ribosomal RNA, 501 nt
Filed under: uncultured bacterium
Lineage: Bacteria
Description: bacterial SSU rRNA
Rfam family: Bacterial small subunit ribosomal RNA
Source: RNAcentral
GACGAACGCUGGCGGCGUGCCUAAUACAUGCAAGUCGAGCGGAGUGAUGAAGAAGCUUGCUUCUUCUGAUUUUAGCGGCGGACGGGUGAGUAACACGUGGGCAACCUACCUUGUAGAUUGGGAGUAACUCCGGGAAACCGGGGCUAAUACCGAAUAAUCCAUUUUGCUUCAUGGCGAGAUGUUAAAAGGCGGCUUCGGCUGUCACUACGAGAUGGGCCCGCGGCGCAUUAGCUAGUUGGUAGGGUAAUGGCCUACCAAGGCGACGAUGCGUAGCCGACCUGAGAGGGUGAUCGGCCACACUGGGACUGAGACACGGCCCAGACUCCUACGGGAGGCAGCAGUAGGGAAUCUUCCACAAUGGACGAAAGUCUGAUGGAGCAACGCCGCGUGAGUGAAGAAGGUUUUCGGAUCGUAAAACUCUGUUGUAAGGGAAGAACACGUACGAGAGUAACUGCUCGUACCUUGACGGUACCUUAUUAGAAAGCCACGGCUAACUACGUG